RNAcentral lists this ribosomal RNA (778 nucleotides) under uncultured Neocallimastigales. Its description in RNAcentral is "partial large subunit ribosomal RNA". It matches the Rfam family "Eukaryotic large subunit ribosomal RNA", at positions 20 to 649 of the family's 3401-position model. Lineage: Eukaryota; Fungi; Neocallimastigomycota; Neocallimastigomycetes; Neocallimastigales. The record is from RNAcentral.
UCCUAGAGUAGCACUCGCAUAUCAAUAAGCGGAGGAAAAGAAACUAACAAGGAUUCCCCUAGUAACGGCGAGUGAAUCGGGAAGAGCUCAAAUUUGAAAUCUUAAAGGGUUUCCCUUUACGAAUUGUAGUUUAAAGAAGUGUUUUCUGUUGAGGUUUUGGUAAAAGUUCUUUGGAAUAGGACAUCAUAGAGGGUGAGAAUCCCGUAUUUGACCUUUACUUUCAACUUUGUGAUACACUUUCAAAGAGUCGGAUUGUUUGGGAAUGCAGUCCAAAAUGGGUGGUAAAUUUCAUCUAAAGCUAAAUAUUGGCGAGAGACCGAUAGCGAACAAGUACCGUGAGGGAAAGAUGAAAAGAACCUUGAAAAGAGAGUUAAACAGUACGUGAAAUUGUCAAAAGGGAAGCGUUUGACACCAGUGUUGUUUUUCUGAAAAUCAAUUAAAGAACUGUUUAUGCUAAGUUGUUUAGGACUUUAUCAGCAGCUAACUGUUUAGUUUUGAGCUUUUCUUUAAUGCACUUUUCAGUUAACAAGUCAACAUCAAUUUCUUUUGCUGUAAAAAAGCUUGAGGAAGGUGGCUUGAGAUUCGUCUUAAGUGUUUAUAGCCUCUUGCCUAUGCAGUCGGAGAGAUUGAGGUCUGCAGCGUAGAUCCUUCGGGGCUAAAUGCAUUUGUGCUAAGUUAUAGCAUUUUAUAGACAACUUGUUGACUAUGAUUUGUCUUGUAGCUUACUCGCUUAUGUUAUUUUACCUACGCUUAGGAUGUUGAGUAGCGACAUACGCAC